UCCGCUGUGUUGUGCCUCUGUGCACUCUGCUAUAAUGAAAAAGGGUUUCUCUUACCAGAGAGAAUUCCCAACAGGUUAUGGGAGCCCAGUAUUUUGAGCUGCGUGUACUGCAACUAAAGAGUUAAGUCUGUUCCAGGAGAUCCAGUGAGAUCUAGCCCUGGACAAUUUGAAUUGCUAAUCUACAGCAGCUGCCCUUUUACGGAGCUCAGUGAGGAUGGCUACUUAUCUAGAGGGAAAGCUCAGGCUGACUAUCCUGAACCUAGACAAUUACUUGGAAUGGAAAACUUGACUGAGGCUUGCAUUAUAAGCUGAAGGACUACAGAAAGUCACUGAAGAAGUUGCCUGCUCAGAUGGAAGUUCAGCUGCUGAGAAAACUGCUAAAGAGGAGUGGCAACUCAAAGAUACAUAAGCUCAAGCUUGGAUCGCUGCUUCUGUGAGUAAAAAUUAUCUUUCUACCAUAUGUGAUCUUGACUUGAGACUUCAAAGGAAAUGCUAAGCAAGCUAGAUUCCUUGCAUAUGAAAAUGGGGUGGGCAUACACCUUUAACGUGAGAAAGAAAAUGCAGAAUCUCCAAUAUAAAGACGGAGGCUGUUUUGCAACGCAUGUGGGAUUGCUGCAAGGUUUUUUAAAAAAGUUAUAGCUGCAAAGGAGGAAUUUACAGAGAAUCAGAAGCUGGAAGUCCUGUUCCUAAGCAUGCCCCCCCAGCUAUAGCAAUAUAAUCGGCCAAUUGGAAACCCACACCACUCUAAACUUUGAGAGAGCAGUGGAAACUAUCUCUGCUGAAGCAAGCAGAGGACAAGUUUUGAAUUCUUGAUAUGAAGGUGAAUUGGCAAAUAACUUUGCUCUUAAGGCAACAAUUGGCCAUUCCAGAGGAAACCCAAGGUGGGGAGGGAAUGCUGCAAGAGGAAACCGCAUGCCCCCCCCCAUAUUUGCAUACAAAGAGGUCUGGCUUCGUUGCCAAGGGAACUCAAUCCAGAGAGAGAGGUCACAUGACCGCCAGCAGGGAGACUGCUCCUGAAAUGAGGCCAACUGGGACUAAUGACUUUAGAUGUUUUCUGUGUAACCAAUUUGGCCACAAGGUGGCGAACUGUCCCAAGAAUCAGACAAGGAAAGCUGACUUUACAGAAAGAGAUUUAAAGGACUUUAAGAGUGGUGAUUCAAAUAAGAAUUUCAGUGUUUGCCUGAUGCAAGGCGAUGAAAAAUUUAUUCUGGACACUAGUUCCAUGGUUCAUAUCUCAAAUCAUUUAGAUUUCCAUACUGAACUGUUUGAUAUUCCUGAAGAGAUUGUUCAUUUGGCCAAUAAUACUACAAUUAAAGCAAAGAAGAAAGGUGAAGGAAUUUUGUAUUGCAAGUUACUAGAUGGAUCGAUUAAACAAUUUUUUGUGAAGGAUGUUUUGUAUAUCCCUGACUUCUCAAGCUCCUUGCUUUCAAUAUCCAAGCUAGAGAAACAAGGCUGUGAACUGUAUAUUAGAAAUGGACAAUGUGUUGUUACCCAAAAUGGAGAAGUUUGCCUUGUAGGCUCUGAAUGCAAAGGCCUAUACAGUGUGCAGGAGCAACCUGUGUCAAAGAUAAGACAGAGAAGGACCAGCCUGGUCCAAACCUGAAGCAUACCACCCCAAUGAAGUGAACCUUGCUCAGUCAUGCCUGCAUGAAAACUGCUUGCAACUGUGGCAUAGAUGCCUGGGACACAGUUGCUAUGAGACAAUCCAGAACAUGAAGGAAAGGGGAUUAGCUGAUGGCAUUGAUUUUGUACCAUGUGACAUUGUGACUAACUGUGUUUGUUGUCUUGAGUCCAAAGCAGUUAUCAAGCCAUUUCCUAAGCAGAGUGAAAGGAAGACCAGAAGACCCCUGGAGCUGAUCCACAGCAAUAUAUUUGGACCACUGCCAGUGACCAUAGGAGAAAUCGCAGAUGCCCGAGAAACUCCAGGACUAUGUGGGAAUGGCAAGCAACAAAUUUGAGCAGAAGCCAAAGGUACUACGCACAGACAAUGGAGGAGAAUAGAUGUCCAGUGCCACACAUCAGUUCCUGAGAGAACAUGGAAUAGUGCAUCAAACCACGGUAGCUUACAACCCAUCGCAGAAUGAAGUGUCAGAGAACAGAACUCUACUGGACAUGGUAAGAUGCAUGCUUGCUGAUGCAUAUCUCCCACAGAAACUCUGGGGAGAAGGCAUCAUGACUGCCACAUACAUACAAAACAGAAUACACACAAAGGCUGUAGGAACAAUACCAUAUGAACUUUGGCAUGGUCAUAAGCCACCCAUGACGCAUUUGUGUGUCUUUGGAAGCACGGCUUAUUUAUACAUCCCAGAGGAAAAAAGGACUAAGUUAGGGGCUAGGGCCACAAAAGGGAUUUUUGUAGGCUACUCAGCACAAUCCAAAGGCUACAGAAUUCUGGAUCCUGACACCAACAAGAUAACCAUAAGCAGAUUGGUGUAUUUUGAUGAGAAUGAAAGAGCUACAUCUUCAGAGGGGGCCUACACCGAAGCAAGCAACCAGACCAAACACCCUGACGACCGGAUUAUGCUUCCUGAUCUCAGCGGAAUUGAGGAGGAGGAGACAGCAGAUCCAGAUCCAACCACGCUAGACACAGAGACCCCCAGCGAUCCACCAGACACACUGAGAUAAUGGAAGGGACCAAAGAGGGUGAGGUUAGGUGCUCAACACGCUCAACCAGAGGUGUUCCAGCCCCGAGACUGUCCUACCUCGCAAGAACGGCGGAACAACCAGAACCCUCAUCAUGGGAGGAAAUAUCCCAGCUGCCACAACCAGAAGCCCAGCAGUGGGAACAAGCUGCAAUUGAAGCGCUUGAGGCUCUACAGAAAAACAAAACCUGGACUCUUACUAAGUUACCUCAAGGGAGGAAAGUUAUAGGCUGCAAAUGGGUUUUCAAACUCAAACAUGAUGCUGAUGGUGAGAUUCAGUGCUACAAAGCCAGAUUAGUAGCGAAAGGAUAUUCAUAGAAAUAUGGAGAAGACUGAUGAAACAUUUGCACCAGUAGUCAAACACACCACAGUAAGGACUCUGUUAAGUAUUGCUGCUAGCAAAGGAAUGCAUGUUGAACACCUAGAUGUGAAAACUGCAUUCUUGUAUGGUGAACUAGAAGAGGACAUUUACAUGCAACAACCACCAGGUUUCUUAGAGAAAGGCAAAGAAGAUCUUGUAUUCAAAAUGCAAAAGAGCAUUUAUGGUUUAAAACAGGCUGCCAGAGCAUGGAACACAAAACUAAAUGAUAUGCUGCUUCAAGCAAACUUCAAAAGAAGUGAAGCUGAUCCCUGCCUGUACACGAAAUUCAGAGAUGGCAAAUGGACUUACUGUACAUUUUGGCGUAUGUUGAUGAUUUGAUUCUUGCCAAUGAGAAUCCAGAUGACAGCAAGGAAAUAAUGCAUCAUCUGAACAGAGAUGUGGAAGUCAUACAACUUGGCAACUUAGCACACUACUUGGGCAUUCAAGUACAAAGAGAGAAAGAUGGAAGUUUCCUCAUCAACCAAGAACAGAAAAUUAAAAACCUGAUAAACCUGGUCAGACUGGAAGAUGCGAAUCCUACACCAAUGCCAAUGGAAGUGAACUACAUAAAGCAAGAAGAUCAAACUGAGCCACUAUCUGACAACCACAGAUAUCGUGAAGCAUUGGGAAAGCUUCUAUACAUUAGUACACUCACUAGGCCAGAUAUUAGUACAGCAGUUAGCUUACUUUGCAGAAAGACUGCAUCACCAACGGUCAAGGACUGGAAUGCAAUUAAGAGACUUGUUAAGUAUCUAAAGGGUACUGCACACUUUAAGCUCAAGGUACCAGCUAACAGUCAACCAAAACUAGAGGCAUACGUAGAUGCAGACUGGGGUGGAGACCUAACAUAAAGGAAAUCCACCAGCGGUCAUAUAAUUUUCUAUGGAGAUGGAGCCAUAAGCUGGUCAAGCACCAAGCAAGACAUAGUAGCAUCAUCAACCACUGAAGCGGAAUAUGUAUCAGCUGUACAGGGCUGUCAUGAGAUACAAUGGCUGUGUCAACUACUGAAAGAUCUAGGUACAGAUGUACCACAGCCCAUACCAUUGUAUGAAGACAACCAAAGCUGCAUUCAACUCUCCAAACAGGAAGAUGUAAAGAGGCGUACCAAGCAUAUUGAUGUGAAGUACCAUGUAGUGAGAAAUCUGCAAAAGAAUGGACUAAUCAAGCUGAUCUACUGCCCAACAAAUGAAAGGCUUGCAGAUCUACUCACUAAGCCACUACCAAGAUCCUGCUUUAAAAAGCUGAGAUUCUAUCUCUUCACUUUCCUAUCAAGAAUGAAGUUCUCUAAUAAAUACUACUUAUAUUGAUUUGAAACUA
Long non-coding RNA from Hemicordylus capensis (graceful crag lizard), 4320 nucleotides. RefSeq lists it as uncharacterized. The record is from RefSeq and is a predicted model, not a curated record. Lineage: Eukaryota; Metazoa; Chordata; Lepidosauria; Squamata; Cordylidae. The transcript has 2 exons.